AUUGAACGCUGGCGGCAUGCUUUACACAUGCAAGUCGAACGGUAACAGGUUGAGCUGACGAGUGGCGAACGGGUGAGUAAUGCAUCGGAACGUGCCCGAUCGUGGGGGAUAACGCAGCGAAAGCUGCGCUAAUACCGCAUACGAUCUGAGGAUGAAAGCGGGGGACCGUAAGGCCUCGCGCGAUCGGAGCGGCCGACGUCAGAUUAGGUGGUUGGUGGGGUAAAGGCCCACCAAGCCGACGAUCUGUAGCUGGUCUGAGAGGACGACCAGCCACACUGGGACUGAGACACGGCCCAGACUCCUACGGGAGGCAGCAGUGGGGAAUUUUGGACAAUGGGCGAAAGCCUGAUCCAGCAAUGCCGCGUGCAGGAAGAAGGCCUUCGGGUUGUAAACUGCUUUUGUACGGAGCGAAAAGGUCCUUUCUAAUACAAGGGGCUCAUGACGGUACCGUAAGAAUAAGCACCGGCUAACUACGUGCCAGCCGCCGCGGUAA
Molecule: ribosomal RNA, 493 nt
Filed under: uncultured bacterium
Lineage: Bacteria
Description: partial 16S ribosomal RNA
Rfam family: Bacterial small subunit ribosomal RNA
Source: RNAcentral